CCUACGGGAGGCAGCAGUGGGGAAUAUUGGGCAAUGGGCGCAAGCCUGACCCAGCAACGCCGCGUGAAGGAAGAAGGCUUUCGGGUUGUAAACUUCUUUUGACAGGGAAGAGUAGAAGACUGUACCUGUCGAAUAAGCCACUGCUAACAACGUGCCAGCAGUCGCGGUAAGACGUAGGUGGCGAGGGUUGUCCGGAUUUACUGGGUGUAAAGGGCGUGUAGCCGGGUUGACAAUUCAGAUGUGAAAUCCUGCGGCUUAACCGCCGCACUGCCUUUGAAACUGUUGAUCUUGAGUACUCGAGAGGCAGACGGAAUUCGUAGUGUAGCGGUGAAAUGCGUAGAUAUUAGGCGGAACACCAGUGGCGAAGGCGGUAUGCUGGACAGCAACUGACGGUGAGGCGCGAAAGCGUGGGGAGCAAACAGGAUUAGAUACCCGGGUAGUC
This 442-nucleotide ribosomal RNA is filed under the name uncultured bacterium. Its description in RNAcentral is "partial 16S ribosomal RNA". It matches the Rfam family "Bacterial small subunit ribosomal RNA", at positions 338 to 795 of the family's 1533-position model. The record is from RNAcentral.